GACGAACGCUGGCGGCGUGCUUAACACAUGCAAGUCGAACGGAAAGGCCCUGCUUUUGUGGGGUGCUCGAGUGGCGAACGGGUGAGUAACACGUGAGUAACCUGCCCUUGACUUUGGGAUAACUUCAGGAAACUGGGGCUAAUACCGGAUAGGAGCUCCUGCUGCAUGGUGGGGGUUGGAAAGUUUCGGCGGUUGGGGAUGGACUCGCGGCUUAUCAGCUUGUUGGUGGGGUAGUGGCUUACCAAGGCUUUGACGGGUAGCCGGCCUGAGAGGGUGACCGGCCACAUUGGGACUGAGAUACGGCCCAGACUCCUACGGGAGGCAGCAGUGGGGAAUAUUGCACAAUGGGCGGAAGCCUGAUGCAGCAAUGCCGCGUGAGUGAUGAAGGCCUUAGGGUUGUAAAGCUCUUUUACCCGGGAUGAUAAUGACAGUACCGGGAGAAUAAGCUCCGGCUAACUCCGUG
This 463-nucleotide ribosomal RNA is filed under the name uncultured bacterium. Its description in RNAcentral is "partial 16S ribosomal RNA". It matches the Rfam family "Bacterial small subunit ribosomal RNA", at positions 28 to 507 of the family's 1533-position model. The record is from RNAcentral.